Molecule: ribosomal RNA, 520 nt
Filed under: uncultured Glomus
Lineage: Eukaryota; Fungi; Glomeromycota; Glomeromycetes; Glomerales; Glomeraceae
Description: SSU rRNA
Rfam family: Eukaryotic small subunit ribosomal RNA
Source: RNAcentral
AGCAGCCGCGGUAAUUCCAGCUCCAAUAGCGUAUAUUAAAGUUGUUGCAGUUAAAAAAGCUCGUAGUUGAAUUUCGGGAUCAGAUUGUCGGUCGUGCCUCGGUACGCACUGGCAUUAUUGGUUCCUACCUUCUGAAGAACCGCGAUGUCAUUAAUUUGGUGUCGUGGGGAAUCAGGACUGUUACUUUGAAAAAAUUAGAGUGUUUAAAGCAGGCGCACGCUUGAAUACAUUAGCAUGGAAUAAUGAAAUAGGACGUUUGAUUCUAUUUUGUUGGUUUCUAGGAUCGACGUAAUGAUUAAUAGGGAUAGUUGGGGGCAUUAGUAUUCAAUUGUCAGAGGUGAAAUUCUUGGAUUUAUUGAAGACUAACUACUGCGAAAGCAUUUGCCACGGAUGUUUUCAUUAAUCAAGAACGAAAGUUAGGGGAUCGAAGACGAUCAGAUACCGUCGUAGUCUUAACCAUAAACUAUGCCGACUAGGGAUCGGAUGAUGUUAAUUUUUAAUGUACUCAUUCGGCGCCUUA